CUAAAGGAUUUUUUAAAAUCCAAAUCCAAAUCCAAAUCAAAAUCAA
Molecule: non-coding RNA, 46 nt
Organism: Macleaya cordata
Lineage: Eukaryota; Viridiplantae; Streptophyta; Magnoliopsida; Ranunculales; Papaveraceae
Source: Rfam